This 363-nucleotide ribosomal RNA is filed under the name uncultured bacterium. Its description in RNAcentral is "bacterial SSU rRNA". It matches the Rfam family "Bacterial small subunit ribosomal RNA", at positions 29 to 418 of the family's 1533-position model. The record is from RNAcentral.
AACGAACGCUGGCGGCAGGCUUAACACAUGCAAGUCGAACGGGCGCAGCAAUGCGUCAGUGGCAGACGGGUGAGUAACACGUGGGAACCUUCCUUAAGGUACGGGACAACUCAGGGAAACUUGAGCUAAUACCGUAUACGUCCGUGAGGAGAAAGAUUUAUCGCCUUUAGACGGGCCCGCGUCGGAUUAGCUAGUUGGUGAGGUAACGGCUCACCAAGGCUGAGAUGGUUAGCUGGUCGAGAGGAUGGCCAGCCACACUGGGACUGAGACACGGCCCAGACUCCUACGGGAGGCAGCAGUGGGGAAUAUUGCGCAAUGGGCGAAAGCCUGACGCAGCGACGCCGCGUGGGUGAUGAAGGCCUU